UGAGGAAUAUUGGUCAAUGGGCGAGAGCCUGAACCAGCCAAGUAGCGUGCAGGAUGACGGCCCUAUGGGUUGUAAACUGCUUUUAUAUGGGAAUAAAGUGAGGGACGUGUCCCUUAUUGCAUGUACCAUACGAAUAAGGACCGGCUAAUUCCGUGCCAGCAGCCGCGGUAAUACGGAAGGUCCAGGCGUUAUCCGGAUUUAUUGGGUUUAAAGGGAGCGUAGGCUGUUUGUUAAGCGUGUUGUGAAAUGUAAGAGCUCAACUUUUAGAUUGCAGCGCGAACUGGCAGACUUGAGUGCGCACAACGUAGGCGGAAUUCAUGGUGUAGCGGUGAAAUGCUUAGAUAUCAUGACGAACUCCGAUUGCGAAGGCAGCUUACGGGAGCGCAACUGACGCUAAGGCUCGAAGGUGCGGGUAUCGAACAGG
This 424-nucleotide ribosomal RNA is filed under the name Verrucomicrobiota bacterium. RNAcentral's name for it is "Verrucomicrobia bacterium partial 16S ribosomal RNA". It matches the Rfam family "Bacterial small subunit ribosomal RNA", at positions 355 to 776 of the family's 1533-position model. The record is from RNAcentral. Lineage: Bacteria; Pseudomonadati; Verrucomicrobiota.